RNAcentral lists this non-coding RNA (800 nucleotides) under Sphenacris crassicornis. Lineage: Eukaryota; Metazoa; Arthropoda; Insecta; Orthoptera; Pyrgomorphidae. The record is from RNAcentral.
AAUUUUAUGUUUUUUAAGUAAAAGUUUUAUUCUUGCUUAAUUAUUCAUUAUUUCUUUAAAUUAUAUACUAGUUUAGAAUACUAAAUGUUCGUUAUGUAGUAAUUGAAUUUAUUAAAUCAAGUUAUUUUGGAAUUAGUAAUUGGUUAAAGUUUUGACAAAAUUUGUGCCAGCAGUCGCGGUUAUACAAUUGAUGCAAUUGAAUAUUUUUGACUUUAUAGAUAAUUUUUAUUUUGAAUAUUAAUUUAAAUUUAUUAGGUGAAAUUUUAUAUUUAUUGAAUAUUCAUAUUUUUUGUUCUGUGAAAUUUAAAUUUUAAACUAGGAUUAGAUACCCUAUUAUUUUAUUAGUAAAUUUUGUUAGGGUAUUAAUAGUUAAGUUCUUUAAACCCAAAGAAUUUGGCGGCAUUUUAUUCCAUUCAGAGGAACCUAUCCCGUAAUUGAUAAUACACGAUUUGUUUUACUUAAUUUAUUAGUUUGUAUAUCUCCGUUAUUAGAUGAUCUUUUUAGAGUAUAUAAUUUUCUUAAUUCUUGAUUGAGAAGGAUUUCAGGUCAAGGUGCAGCUUAUAAAUAAGAGGUGAUGGGUUACAUUAAACUUUAUGGUUUACGGAUUUAUAAAUGUGAAUUUUUAAUUAAGUUGGAUUUGAUAGUAAUUUGUUUAACAUUAUUCAUUUGAUUUUGGCUCUAAGGUGUGUACACAUCGCCCGUCACUCUCAUUAUUUUUUAAUAAAGUUAAUUAUUUUAAUUGAGAUAAGUCGUAACAUAGUAGACGUACUGGAAAGUGUGUCUAGAAAGACAUCGAAAUA